This 935-nucleotide ribosomal RNA is filed under the name uncultured bacterium. RNAcentral describes it as "bacterial SSU rRNA". The stretch from base 1 to 734 matches the Rfam family "Bacterial small subunit ribosomal RNA", at positions 34 to 873 of the family's 1533-position model. The record is from RNAcentral.
CGCUGGCGGCAGGCUUAACACAUGCAAGUCGAACGCCCCGCAAGGGGAGUGGCAGACGGGUGAGUAACGCGUGGGAACAUACCCUUUCCUGCGGAAUAGCUCUGGGAAACUGGAAUUAAUACCGCAUACGCCCUACGGGGGAAAGAUUUAUCGGGGAAGGAUUGGCCCGCGUUGGAUUAGCUAGUUGGUGGGGUAAAGGCCUACCAAGGCGACGAUCCAUAGCUGGUCUGAGAGGAUGAUCAGCCACAUUGGGACUGAGACACGGCCCAAACUCCUACGGGAGGCAGCAGUGGGGAAUAUUGGACAAUGGGCGCAAGCCUGAUCCAGCCAUGCCGCGUGAGUGAUGAAGGCCUUAGGGUUGUAAAGCUCUUUCACCGGAGAAGAUAAUGACGGUAUCCGGAGAACAAGCCCCGGCUAACUUCGUGCCCCCAGCCGCGGUAAUACGAAGGGGGCUAGCGUUGUUCGGAAUUACUGGGCGUAAAGCGCACGUAGGCGGAUAUUUAAGUCAGGGGUGAAAUCACAGAGCUCAUCUCAGUAACUGCCUUUGAUACUGUCUAUCUUGAGGAUGGAACACGUGGGAGGACCCCCGUCAAUUCCUAUGAAUUUAUACUUGCGACCACACUCCCCGGCGAGAAUGGCUUAUGGGUCAUCUACUGACACCGAAGAGAUAAUGCCCGGCGAGUAACAUGAUCAGUUACCGCGGUGACCACCACGUAAUCGAUGCUGUAGUCGCCAGCAUAGACGUUACGGUAGCACGGACACGUUACCUCGCGCUGGGGAUCUCGCAGAGUUCAAAUAACUAUACGGAAUCCCUAUCGUGAGACUGGUAUACUGACACGACACUAGCCUGGAUUCCGCUGAAUGACUUGCUAUAGCGAUAAAGACUGGUUCUUAUUCGUGAGUGUACGCGAUCGACUCAAUUACGGUGAGUACUA